GACGAACGCUGGCGGCGUGCCUAAUACAUGCAAGUAGAACGCACAGUUUAUACCGUAGCUUGCUCCACCAUAGACUGUGAGUUGCGAACGGGUGAGUAACGCGUAGGUAACCUGCCUGGUAGCGGGGGAUAACUAUUGGAAACGAUAGCUAAUACCGCAUAAUAUUAAUUAUUGCAUGAUAAUUAAUUGAAAGGUGCAAUUGCACCACUACCAGAUGGACCUGCGUUGUAUUAGCUAGUAGGUGAGGUAACGGCUCACCUAGGCGACGAUACAUAGCCGACCUGGGAGGGUGAUCGGCCACACUGGGACUGAGACACGGCCCAGACUCCUACGGGAGGCAGCAGUAGGGAAUCUUCGGCAAUAGACGAAAGUCUGACCGAGCAACGCCGCGUGAGUGAAGAAGGGUUUCGGAUCGUAAAGCUCUGUUGUAAGAGAAGAACGGGUGUGAGAGUGGAAAGUUCACACUGUGACGGUAUCUUACCAGAAAGGGACGGCUAACUACGUG
This 505-nucleotide ribosomal RNA is filed under the name uncultured bacterium. Its description in RNAcentral is "partial 16S ribosomal RNA". It matches the Rfam family "Bacterial small subunit ribosomal RNA", at positions 28 to 507 of the family's 1533-position model. The record is from RNAcentral.